This is a long non-coding RNA of Pogoniulus pusillus (Red-fronted tinkerbird), 666 nucleotides long. RefSeq lists it as uncharacterized. The record is from RefSeq and is a predicted model, not a curated record. The transcript is spliced from 4 exons. NCBI's taxonomy places the organism in Eukaryota, Metazoa, Chordata, Aves, Piciformes, Lybiidae.
AGGAGGGAGUCUGACCUGUUCGAGUCAUGGAACUUUCUAGGCUGAAGAAAGAAGUGCAUAGUCGCAAAAAUAAGGCAAUUAGCACCUGCUUAAAGGUCACCGCCCCUCCCAGCUUCUCCGGAGCCCCCAGCCUACCUGCAUUCCCAGAAGAGAUGGGGGAAGAGACAGGGAUAGGAGCACUUAAAUUCUGGAAGAUAAAUCAAGACUGUCUGUAUUUGCAGAUUUCACUUGGUGCUUGGAACUGAAGCAUUUUCUGUAUCACAGAUGACUACUGAACUUUGAGCACAGUGGAGGAGUGUUUUGUUGGGGCAAGUGGGAAACAAAUGUCAAGACGUUUCUAAGUCUGGUUUGCAGGAAGUUUUUCUAAGGACAACUACAGAGUAAAUCUUCCUACUAAUUUAAGGCUAGUAUUGGACUGUCAGAAAGUAUAGGUGAAAGGGCUGAUGUUCUGCAAGAGGGGACAGAGCUGAGCUGUUAAGAGGAAUGGGCUGUAAUGAGAUAGAUGUUAUCAGUAAGGUCAGUAGUAGAGAGCUUCUGUGGAAGAAAACCCUGAAACCCUGUGUGCUUCCAUCUCCUUUUCCCCUUGCCAUUAAAAUGAAGCCUGCCUACACUUUACUGCUGGUUGUAUACAGCUUGUUUGUGGGGAAAAAACAUGCCUACAUUUAA